GUGUGCUGGGACAGUGAUUGGCAGGAGGAAGGGGAGCCUUGGCCUCACCUGCCCAGCUCAGGUGGGUGGGACAGAAUUGGGGUGACCUGGCAAGGCAUGAACAUAUUUCUGAGUUCUGGAGUGCCUUGAAACCUUUCCCUGUCAGGUUUCUCUCCCUCAUUUCCUGGGGUCCAUUGUCCCAGGUGUCUCUUCCUUUGUCCGAAGUCCAAUGGCAGAGGAUUGACUAACUCCCAAGGGGGGUUUGGAAUGAAAAGGGUUCUGUUUAAAUUAGGCAAGGAAUGCAGUAAGAAAGAUGAGCCUCCUUUUAAUGCCUGAAGUAGAGAGGAAUGAAAAUGCUGGAAAAGGUCCCAUUUUAUUUGUUGUCCACCCUGGAUUUUUCAUGGCUAAAACUGUCUAGUGAGCAAUUGAAGAGAAGGGUGAAGGGCAGGAGCCUUUGACUUGCCCAGUGCACUUAAUUGCCUUGUUCUCCUCUCUUCUAGGUCAGGACCAAGCUCUGAUCCAGCCCAGCUCUGCCAAGUGCCCUGGGCUGUGAGCAGCCCAAGGCAAGAGGCUGCAGCCCCGCCGGCCAGCGCUGGGGGCUCCUGGUGCUGCCCGUGGGCUGGGGGAUGCCCAGGACGCUGCCAAUGCCCAGGGAUCUGCUCUGGGUCCAGGCUGUCCGUGCUGGAGGGCCCUGGUGGCUGCAGUCCCUGAGCCCGCAGAGACAGAGAGAGCCCCGGCCCGAGUGGCCUUUGGCCCCUUGUCCUGAAUUUGGGGUGAGCCUGGGAGCGUGUGGAAGAUGCUGGAAUUGCCUCUCUGGGUGUGUGCUGAGCUCUGGCUGCAGGGGACUGUCAGGCCUUGGUGGCUGUGAGUUCCUGUUCUUCUCCCUGGGAAACCGGAAAGAGUUAUUCAUUGGAUUGCAGAAAUGUUUUCUGAAACCUGUCCCCUUCUUUGUGCCUUUUGCUGACACAUCUUCUCUUUCUGCCUUUGAAUUUACAGCCUCCUUGCAGCUCCCAGCGGGGAAAACCUGGGAUAACUGAGGAGGGACAGAGAUGAAGGUUUUAUCUGCAAACUUGGGGUAAUUUCUAGAGGAUACAGCAACUGUUUUUUAGGAAAGUGUGUUUAACCACAUUGGCCCCAGUUGUGUUUGCACCAGCUGGGGCCAGAGGUGC
Molecule: long non-coding RNA, 1148 nt
Organism: Chiroxiphia lanceolata (lance-tailed manakin)
Lineage: Eukaryota; Metazoa; Chordata; Aves; Passeriformes; Pipridae
Exons: 3
Source: RefSeq, a predicted model, not a curated record